UCUACAAGCCAUACCACCCUGAACACGCCCAAUCUCAUCUGGUCUCAAAAGCUAAACAGGGUUGAGCCUGGUUAGUACUUGGAUAGGAGACAAAUUUUCAGACUCUUCUGCUCAGAGAC
This 119-nucleotide ribosomal RNA is filed under the name Castor canadensis (American beaver). The record is from RNAcentral. Lineage: Eukaryota; Metazoa; Chordata; Mammalia; Rodentia; Castoridae.